This 459-nucleotide ribosomal RNA is filed under the name uncultured bacterium. RNAcentral's name for it is "partial 16S ribosomal RNA". It matches the Rfam family "Bacterial small subunit ribosomal RNA", at positions 338 to 795 of the family's 1533-position model. The record is from RNAcentral.
CCUACGGGAGGCAGCAGUGAGGAAUAUUGGUCAAUGGGCGCGAGCCUGAACCAGCCAAGUCGCGUGCGGGAAGACGGUCCUAUGGAUUGUAAACCUCUUUUGUCGGGGAGCAAAAGACGCCACGCGUGGGGUUCCGAGAGUACCCGAAGAAAAAGCACCGGCUAACUCCGUGCCAGCAGCCGCGGUAAUACGGAGGAUGCGAGCGUUAUCCGGAUUUAUUGGGUUUAAAGGGUGCGCAGGCGGAAGAUCAAGCCAGCGGUAAAAUUGAGGGGCUCAACCUGUGCGUGCAGUUGAAACUGGUUUGCUUGAGUGAGCGAGAAGCAUGCGGAAUGCGUGGUGUAGCGGUGAAAUGCAUAGAUAUCACGCAGAACUCCGAUUGCGAAGGCAGCAUGCCGGCGCUCAACUGACGCUCAUGCACGAAAGUGUGGGUAUCGAACAGGAUUAGAUACCCUGGUAGUC